GCCUACUUAGCUCAAUGGUAAGAGCAUCACUCAUGAAUGCCGAGGUUGUGGGUUUGAGUCCCACAGUACACA
Molecule: transfer RNA, 72 nt
Organism: Puccinia sorghi
Lineage: Eukaryota; Fungi; Basidiomycota; Pucciniomycetes; Pucciniales; Pucciniaceae
Rfam family: tRNA
About the family: Transfer RNA (tRNA) molecules are approximately 80 nucleotides in length.
Source: Rfam